Long non-coding RNA from Hipposideros armiger (great roundleaf bat), 1838 nucleotides. RefSeq lists it as uncharacterized. The transcript is spliced from 5 exons. NCBI's taxonomy places the organism in Eukaryota, Metazoa, Chordata, Mammalia, Chiroptera, Hipposideridae. The record is from RefSeq and is a predicted model, not a curated record.
UUUACUCUCAUUGUGUUUUAGGUGGAGUUGACCGUACUCAUUAGCUCCUAGGGUGUAGAUAGAGCUACCCCAAGCCUGGCCAAUCAGAGGAUUCCAUUCCCUAGUGAAAUUCACAGUGAUUGGUUUAGAAAUGGUCAUGUGACUUUAAAACAGGUCAAUGAGACUCAGCCUUGGUACUUUUGCUGAUGCUGUUGGGAAAGGGAGGCUCUCUCUUGCUGCAGGUUUUGAAGUUGGGUGGAUGUGUAAGCCUGAAGUUCCAGGAGGCCACCGUGGGAAGAAGGCAGGACUGGGAACAGAAUUAACAGGGAAGAGAACAGAGCUGAGCAAAAAGAGAGAGAGAGCGAGAGACCAAGUUCUGAGGACGUCAACACGCUCUGACUUUUUGGAUACUUGAGCCAAAUGGGUACUCAUCUUCCAUCUCACAUCCGGCCAGUUAUUCAUUUGCUGAUUUCACUCAUUCAACGAAUCCUGUUUUCAUGCCAAGUAUCGUUAUAAAUUCUGGAAAGACAGACGUGAACAAGACAGACAAGGAACCUGCCUUCUUGUGGCUUGUAUUCUAGUGGGGGAACGCUGGCAACAAGCCAUCAAAUGACUUACAAAGAAGGAGAAUGAGUUUGCUCAUGGCUCCAAGGGACUGGAAGCUCACGAAAAGGCGCAGAUGUUGUGUUAUUAGUUCUUGGCUGGAGAAAUUCUGGCCUCUGCAAUAGCCCUCCCUCCUUGUCAGGAGGCCAGAGGCUGGAGCGUUCCCUGCAACUUUCUCCUCCCAGCACCCACACACCCACGAGUCACUUCCAAGGGUGGGGAAGCCUUUGAAGUCCGUGGUGACGUCAUGGAAGGCGAAGGCGUCAAGGAGCUACAGGAGAGGUGGAGUUCCCCCAGAAAGCAGACCCAGAGACGAGGAUCUGAGUGCCAGUCAUUUUUGUUUUGUUCUGCUUUUGGAGGUGAUCCCAGGAAGCACCCUUAAGUAGAGACAUUUGCAAGAAAAGCAACCAAUUCAGACCAUGUUCAUGAGCAGGUUGUUGCUGUGGAAAAUUGAGGCUCAGUCCUUCUGGGGACAUCUCUCAGAGCGUGUCUUGGAGUUGUCCCACCUGGGGGACCGGAAGCUGGAGUAUCUUUCCUCCAACUUCAGUCUAUCAUUAUUUGAGGGCCACUCCCGGAUACGUCAGCUCCCCGGACUGCUGAUCUACCCUGUGUGCUAAGGCCAGGGGGAGCUCUCGGGUGCGGAGAUGCAAAUGCUUGUGCUAGGAAGCCAUCAGCAUACAAAAGAAGGGUGUGUGCUGAGAGCAUAUGGGUGAACUCCCCACAGGGUUGCCUACAUCCAUAAAUUCACAUUUACUUGUUUCAUCGCCGAGUGCAAUUUCUACUUACAGGAGACACAGCUCUAAAGAUGACAACCUUGGAUUUCAUAGUAAAUUAGGAACAGGGCUCAUGUAAUAUUAAUAAUCUAAGGAUGUACAUACAUGCUGUGGGUUUAUAGGUGAGCUUCUGGGCUAAAGCGUCAUAAAACAUUUCAUUGCAUUGAAAAUAAGUGGGCAAAUGUCACCGAAGAAUGAAAGGAAAUAUGAAAUCAAGGAACGUUAAAGUCAAAUGACAUUUCCAUAGCUACCCUAAAAAGGAUUCAGAUCGUUCAAGACCUAGGCCUGACACCUAGGCUUGUGUGACCCCCAACAAGUUGCUUAAUCUCUGAACGUCAGCUUUUGUCUUUUUUUGUUGUUGUUGUUGUUAACCUGUCAAAUGAUGUGAAUACCUAUCACAUAUAGCUGUCAUGAGAACUAAAUGAGGUAAUGCAUAUAGACAAUGGUUGUAGAUUGUAUUAUUUGUGUAGACUUCUUUUUAUC